Molecule: ribosomal RNA, 548 nt
Filed under: uncultured Glomeromycotina
Lineage: Eukaryota; Fungi; Glomeromycota
Description: SSU rRNA
Rfam family: Eukaryotic small subunit ribosomal RNA
Source: RNAcentral
UUGGAGGGCAAGUCUGGUGCCAGCAGCCGCGGUAAUUCCAGCUCCAAUAGCGUAUAUUAAAGUUGCUGCAGUUAAAAAGCUCGUAGUUGAAUUUCGGGACCAUCAUGUCGGUCGUGCCUCGGUACGUACUGGUAUUGUUGGUUUCUCCCUUCUGACGAACCAUGAUGUCAUUUAUUUGGUGUUGUGGGGAAUCAGGACUGUUACUUUGAAAAAAUUAGAGUGUUUAAAGCAGGCUCACGCUUGAAUACAUUAGCAUGGAAUAAUGAAAUAGGACGUUUGAUUCUAUUUUGUUGGCUUCUAGGAUCGACGUAAUGAUUAAUAGGGAUAGUUGGGGGCAUUAGUAUUCAAUUGUCAGAGGUGAAAUUCUUGGAUUUAUUGAAGACUAACUACUGCGAAAGCAUUUGCCAAGGAUGUUUUCAUUAAUCAAGAACGAAAGUUAGGGGAUCGAAGACGAUCAGAUACCGUCGUAGUCUUAACCAUAAACUAUGCCGACUAGGGAUCGGAUGAUGUUAAUUUUUUUAUGACUCAUUCGGCGCCUUACGGGAAAC